GAUUAACGCUGGCGGCGUGCAUAACACAUGCAAGUCGAACGAUGAAACUUAACUGAUCUCUUCGGAGUGAUUUUAAGCGGAUUAGUGGCGGACGGGUGAGUAACGCGUGAGUAACCUGCCUUAGAGAAGGGGAUAGCCUUUGGAAACGAAGAAUAAUACCCUAUGAAAUGACAUUAUCGCAUGAUAAAGUCAUCAAAGAUUUAUCGCUCUAAGAUGGACUUGCGUCUGAUUAGUUAGUUGGUGAGGUAACGGCCACCAAGACAGCGAUCAGUAGCCGGCUUGAGAGAGUGUACGGCCACAUUGGGACUGAGACACGGCCCAGACUCCUACGGGAGGCAGCAGUGGGAAUUUUGCACAAUGGGGGAAACCCUGAUGCAGCGACGCCGCGUGAUUUUAGAAGGCCUUCGGGUUGUAAAAAUCUUUU
Molecule: ribosomal RNA, 424 nt
Filed under: uncultured bacterium
Lineage: Bacteria
Description: bacterial SSU rRNA
Rfam family: Bacterial small subunit ribosomal RNA
Source: RNAcentral